GACGAACGCUGGCGGCGUGCUUAACACAUGCAAGUCGAACGGAGCGAAUGAAAGCUUGCUUUUAUAAGCUUAGUGGCAAACGGGUGAGUAACACGUAGGCAACCUGCCGACAGGAUGGGGACAACAUUCCGAAAGGAAUGCUAAUACCGAAUGAAGCGCAGGAGAGGCAUCUCUCCUGCGUGAAAGAUGGCCUCUAUAUAUAAGCUAUCACCUGUCGAUGGGCCUGCGUCUGAUUAGCUGGUAGGUGAGGUAACGGCUCACCUAGGCGACGAUCAGUAGCCGGUCUGAGAGGAUGAACGGCCACAUUGGGACUGAGACACGGCCCAGACUCCUACGGGAGGCAGCAGUGGGGAAUCUUCCGCAAUGGGCGCAAGCCUGACGGAGCAACGCCGCGUGAGUGAAGAAAGGGUCUUUCGGGAUCGUAAAAGCUCUGUUGAAUGGGG
This 443-nucleotide ribosomal RNA is filed under the name Centipeda noxia. RNAcentral's name for it is "bacterial SSU rRNA". It matches the Rfam family "Bacterial small subunit ribosomal RNA", at positions 28 to 445 of the family's 1533-position model. Lineage: Bacteria; Bacillati; Bacillota; Negativicutes; Selenomonadales; Selenomonadaceae. The record is from RNAcentral.